AUACGUAGGGGGCGAGCGUUGUCCGGAAUGAUUGGGCGUAAAGGGCGCGUAGGCGGCCGAGUAAGUCUGGAGUGAAAGUCCUGUUUUCAAGAUGGGAAUUGCUUUGGAUACUGCUCAGCUUGAGUGCAGGAGAGGUUAUCGGAAUUCCCGGUGUAGCGGUGAAAUGCGUAGAUAUGCCACAGAACGCCGAUAGCGGAGGCAGCUCGCCAGGCCUGCAUUGACGCUCGGGCACGAAAGCGUGGGGAUCGAACAGGAUUAGAUACCCUGGUAGUCCACGCCGUAAACGAUGGGCGCUCGUCGUCGGCGGCAGACAGUCGGCGGCCAAGCGAAAGCGAUAAGCGCCCCACCUGGGGAGUACGGUCGCAAGGCUGAAACUCAAAUGAAUUGGCGG
This 391-nucleotide ribosomal RNA is filed under the name uncultured bacterium. RNAcentral's name for it is "partial 16S ribosomal RNA". It matches the Rfam family "Bacterial small subunit ribosomal RNA", at positions 523 to 916 of the family's 1533-position model. The record is from RNAcentral.